GUCAGCUGCGCGGCCAAGAGGAGCCACAGCCGCGGCCGCAUCGUGGCGCGCCCGGGACACCUGGCCCCGGGGGCUCGGCGGAGACAGUCGCGGCUGGGAAAUAAUGUUGAUAUUUGGAACCCAUGUCGAACUUCUAUGAAGAAAGGACAACGAAGAUUGCAGCCAGGGAUUUGCAGGAAUUUGUUCCUUUUGGUGGAGACCACUGCAAGCACCACCCUAAUGCUUUGAACCUUCAACUUCGCCAGCUGCAGCCAGCUUCUGAAUUAUGGUCUUCUAAUGGUGCUGCUGGCUUUGUGGGAUCCCUUCAGGAGGUUACAAUCCACGAGAAACAGAAGGAAAGCUGGCAGUUAAGGAAAGGAGUAAGUGAAAUUGGAGAAGAUGUGGACUAUGAUGAGGAACUCUAUGUUGCUGGAAAUAUGGUGAUAUGGAGCAAAGGAAGUAAAAGCCAGGCAUUGGCAGUUUAUAAAGCAUUUACAGUUGACAGUCCUGUUCAGCAGGAAGACAUGCAGUUCAUCUCCAUUUGAUGAAGGAAAACUUGUACUUAGAGAAGAAUGCCAGCUAAUAAAUGUAAAAGGAAUUGUAGAAUUAGAAUAUCACCAUUUUGUAACCUCCAUUGCAAUAAUGGAUUCAAACAAGGAUUGUAAAUGGAUACUAACACGGUUGGUUGAAAGAAUAUUACCAUGGCACCAACACAUCACCCUAUGGAUUACCUGGCACUGUGGUGUGACUUCAUUAUAUCACAGGAUAAGUCUGAAAAGGCCUACAGUAGCAAUGAAGUAGAAAAAUGCAUAUGUAUAUUGCAAAGCUCAUGUAUUAACAUGCAUAGCAUAGAAGGAAAGGAUUACAUAGCUUCCUUACCAUUUCAGGUUGCAAAUGUUUGGCCCACUAAAUAUGGAUUGUUGUUUGAACGAAGCGCUUCUUCACAUGAAGUACCUCCAGGUUCACCCAGAGAAUCUUUACCCACUAUGUUCAGCAUGCUGCACCCACUAGAUGAAAUAACUCCACUUGUUUGUAAAUCUGGAAGUCUUUUUGGUUCAUUACGGGUGCAAUAUGUUGUAGAUCAUGCAAUGAAAAUUGUUUUCCUCAAUACUGACCCCUCUAUUGUAAUGACUUAUGAUGCUGUUCAAAAUGUGCAUUCUGUGUGGACUCUCCGGAGAGUCAAAUCAGAGGAAGAGAAUGUUGUUUUAAAGUUCUCUGAACAUGGGGGAACCCCACGGAAUGUGGCCACUAGCAGCUCCCUCACAGCACAUCUCAGAAGCCUCUCCAAAGGAGAUUCCCCUGUGAUUUCACCUUUCCGGAAUUACUCCUCCAUUCACAGCCAGAGUCGCUCAACCUCAUCACCCAGUCUACAUUCUCGCUCACCUUCUAUUUCCAACAUGGCAGCUCUAAGUCGUGCUCAUUCUCCUGCCUUAGGAGUGCACUCUUUUUCAGGGGUGCAAAGGUUCAACAUUUCAAGCCAUAAUCAGUCUCCAAAGAGACAUAGUAUUUCUCAUUCUCCAAAUAUAGAGACGGGAUUUCACCGUGUUAGCCAGGAUAGUCUGGAUCUCCUGACCUCGUGAUCUGCCCGCCUCGGCCUCCCAAAGUGUUGGGAUUACAGAGAGAAAAAUUCACAAGCCUCAAAAGUGUUUAUUACAUCUGACCUAUGUGGGCAAAUUUCCUGUGCUUUUCAGUGGAGUCCCAGCUCCAGUUAUGUGACCAACAUACCAGCGAAGGAUGCAGCACCAGUGGAGAAAAUAGACACCAUGCUGGUCUUGGAAGGCAGUGGAAACCU
This is a long non-coding RNA of Homo sapiens (human), 1771 nucleotides long. Lineage: Eukaryota; Metazoa; Chordata; Mammalia; Primates; Hominidae. The record is from Ensembl.